Molecule: ribosomal RNA, 1100 nt
Filed under: uncultured bacterium
Lineage: Bacteria
Description: bacterial SSU rRNA
Rfam family: Bacterial small subunit ribosomal RNA
Source: RNAcentral
AUGUAGGCUUCGGUCUACUAGUAAAGUGGCGGAAGGAGCGUGACACGUGGGUAAUCUACCUUCCGGCGGGGGACAACAGUCCGAAAGGAUUGCUAAUACCGCAUACGUCAGCGGCGCCUACGGGCGCUGUUGGGAAAGAUAGCCUCUCCUUGGAAGCUGUCACACGGAAGAUGAGCCCGCGCCCCAUCAGACUAGUUGGUGAGGUAAUGGCUCACCAAGGCUUAGACGGGUAGCUGGUCUGAGAGGAUGAUCAGCCACACUGGGACUGCGACACGGCCCAGACUCCUACGGGAGGCAGCAGUGGGGAAUAUUGGGCAAUGGGCGAAAGCCUGACCCAGCCACGCCGCGUGAGUGAUGAAGGCCUUCGGGUCGUAAAGCUCUGUUUUUUUUGGACGAAUAAGUCCGGCAUCAAUACCAACGGGCCCUGAACGGUACCUCCUUAGCAAGCACCGGCUAACCCUGUGCCAGCAGCCGCGGUAAUACAGGGGGUGCAAACGUUGCUCGGAAUUAUUUGGGCGUAAAGCGCACGUAGGCGGUUCGUUAUGUCAGAUGUGAAAGCCCUUUGGCUCAACUGAGGAAGUGCAUCUGAAACUGGGCGAGCUAGAGUAUGUAAGAGGGGUCGCGGAAUUUCCCGGGUGUAGAGGUGAAAUUCGUAGAUAUCGGGAGGAACAACCGGUGGGCGAAGGCGGCGACCUGGGACAAUACUGACGCUGAGGUGCGAAAGCGUGGGGAGCAAACAGAAUUAGAUACCCUGGUAGUCCACGCCGUAAACGAUUAUUUUUUAGAAUUUUUCUGGUAUUUGACCCCGGAGGCGUGGUAGCCUAACGCGUUAAAGCACUCCCGCCCUGGGGAGUGCGUGCGCAAGGGUAAAACUCAAAGGAAUUGAACGGGGGGCCCGCACAGGCGGGGGGAGCAUGGGGGUUCAAUUUCGUACGCAACGCGGCAAGAACCUUAUCCUCGGGGGGUUGGAACCCCCCCCAAUUCCGCACAAUGUGGAUGUGCCCGCAAGGAAUUCGAUGUCCAGUGUUGCAUGGCUGUCGCCAGCCGUGUCGUAGAAUGUUGGAUUUAAUUCCGCAACGAAGCGCAACCUUGUCUUAUUU